RNAcentral lists this ribosomal RNA (441 nucleotides) under Triticum aestivum (bread wheat). RNAcentral's name for it is "partial small subunit ribosomal RNA". Lineage: Eukaryota; Viridiplantae; Streptophyta; Magnoliopsida; Poales; Poaceae. The record is from RNAcentral.
AUGGAUGGCUUUUGCAAACCCGACAUGCGGCGAUGUGGUUCAUGCCAACAACAAAUAUGCACAACUUGUUUCGUGCUGAUAUCUAGACUGAGCCAUCCGGUGCUGCCGGCUGGCGUCAAGUUCGAUCCCACGGAUCAGGAGCUGAUAGAGCACCUUGAGGCCAAAGUGAGUGCUGACAGCGCGAGAUUUCAGUCUCUCAUCGAUUUGUUCAUACCAACCAUCGACAGCGAGCACGACAUAUGCUACACCCAACCUGAGAAACUUCCAGGUAUCACACUGAGUGGCCUAAGGAAGCAUUUCUUCCAGCGCAAUUCCAGGGCGUUCAAAAGGGGCAUGUGGAUGCGUCGCAAGAUACAGUCGGAGUGCGGCAUGCACGUGAUGUGGCACAAGACCGGUAAUACCUUGCCGGUGAUGGUCAACGGCCGGCAGACGGACAGCUAA